UUUUGGCAUUACAAAGGCGCUUAUUUCUUAAUGUUCUUGCAACUCAAUCACUUCCUUAACCAUUCUUUUAGAAUUCCCGAUGGAUUUCUUCAAAUCAGUAUUUGCAGACGAACCAGAUUUUCCUAAAUCCGAUUCCGAAUCUAAACCCUCCUCUGAUCGACCACCAUCGGACUCAGGUCCCAGCUCCCCACCUAAACUGCAAAAUUCUAAGCCUGACC
Molecule: unclassified non-coding RNA, 218 nt
Filed under: Hevea brasiliensis (rubber tree)
Lineage: Eukaryota; Viridiplantae; Streptophyta; Magnoliopsida; Malpighiales; Euphorbiaceae
Source: RNAcentral